GGGGAGGUUUGGCACCUCGAUGUCGGCUCAUCGCAUCCUGGGGCUGUAGUCGGUCCCAAGGGUUGGGCUGUUCGCCCAUUAAAGCGGUACGCGAGCUGGGUUCAGAACGUCGUGAGACAGUUCGGUCCCUAUCCGUCGCGGGCGCAGGAAAUUUGAGAGGAGCUGUCCUUAGUACGAGAGGACCGGGAUGGACGCACCGCUGGUGUACCAGUUGUUCUGCCAAGGGCAUCGCUGGGUAGCUAUGUGCGGACGGGAUAAGUGCUGAAAGCAUCUAAGCAUGAAGCCCCCCUCAAGAUGAGAUUUCCCAUUCCGCAAGGAAGUAAGAUCCCUGAAAGAUGAUCAGGUUGAUAGGCCUGAGGUGGAAGUGUGGCGACACAUGGAGCUGACAGAUACUAAUCGAUCGAGGACUUAACCAUUUU
Molecule: ribosomal RNA, 419 nt
Filed under: Bacillus siamensis
Lineage: Bacteria; Bacillati; Bacillota; Bacilli; Caryophanales; Bacillaceae
Description: bacterial LSU rRNA
Rfam family: Bacterial large subunit ribosomal RNA
Source: RNAcentral